This 2300-nucleotide long non-coding RNA is filed under the name Homo sapiens (human). Its description in RNAcentral is "HSALNT0394972". Lineage: Eukaryota; Metazoa; Chordata; Mammalia; Primates; Hominidae. The record is from RNAcentral.
AGCGUUGGCCGCCGCGCACGUCGGGAGUUGUAGUUCUGGCUAGGCCGUGCGUCCUGCACCGAUCUCCGGGCCCGCCGCGGCGCCCGCUGGCCUGGGGUUCCGGCUUACAGCGCGGGAAUUCGGGAACCCAGCGCGGGCUGCAGAGGCCCCAGCAGGAGCCCCGCCUCCCGGCUCGUCGACGGAUUCGUUCUUGGCCCUGCCAAUCUGAUUCUCAGCUCCCAGAACUUCACGAUUUAGAAUGUAGACUUUUGCUUUGUGACAGUUCUCCCCAUCCCCGACUACUAAAUGACGAACCCUCUUUAACUGUGAAAUGUACCUGCAAAGUCAAGCAGUGUCUUUGGAUACCCAAGUUCAGAUAUGAACAAGCAAGCUACAAAAGCGGGGUGGGCGGGUAUGAGUGAGCAGAAGAGAGAAACCGGGCUGCAAAAAAGGAAAAUAAAGGCGGGACGUGGGGGUAUGAUUUGCUGAAUGGUACCAAAGUUGAUUUUUUGCACCGUGCACAGUGAUCGAGCUGAGCAAAUUAUUUUUUUUUUAAUUAUAAGCAGCGAGUGCCUUGCUGCCUCCUCAUGUGUGUCAAUAGGAGAGUGAUGAUAUUUGAGUUGGAUCUUAAAGAGUAAGUAGGAGUUUGCCACACAAAGAAGUUGGGUAAGGAAAUUCCUGCAGGAGAAACCUGUAUUUGCAAAGGCAAGAAUCCAGACGGAGUGUGUCAAAUUCGGGAAAAGAACAAAAUUCAAGGUGGCCAUAUUAUCUCUGGGAAGAAGAGAGGAAGGGCAAGAUUGCUGCUAGCAUGCUGGAUAUUCUCCAUUCCACCUUCUAGUGGUUCCUCCCAGCUCUUCCAGCUCUGCAUCAACUGACCUGAACAGGCAAAAAGACUGCACUAUCCAGGCUGCCUGGCCCUCUGGCUUCCAGUUGGUUGCCGCCGAUAGGAGGCAUCAGCAGGAAAUUGGAAAGUAGGAGGAAAGAGAUACGGAUAUUAAACCAAGAUUCCACUAGCCCAUGCCUAAGCCUGCCUGGCCAAGAUUGUAACAGUGGCUGAAUUCCUUGACCCAAAGACCACAUGUCCUGAUGGAUAGCAUACCACAGUGGGCACUGCAGAACCAGUUACACCAACUCAGAAGUGUCUGUAGUUAUCCAGGAAGGAAGGUGUUAAUUACGGAUUUGAAGUGUCAAGGUCAAAAAACACAUGACAAUACAGAAAAAUAAUAGAAAUAACUUGUCAAUGAUGUUUCUGAGAUGAACAAUCUUAGGUGAUGAGAGACUGUAGAUGCAGUGGGGUAAGGGGCGAUAAUACUGUAGAAGAAAUAUAAAAAAUCCAUUGACUUAAAACAAGCAUGUUACAAGUAAAAUGGGGGUCAAACUAUGAAAGGGUUUUACUUAUGUUGCACCCAAGGUCAACAUAAACAUUUUAUUUUAUUUUCAUUGUUGAGCAUAUAUUGCUCCUGUAAUUAGACAAAAAUAAUUAAAUCCCAUUCAUUACAUUCAAAGCAAAUAAUCUAUCAUUCUCCUAUUAGACUAUUGAUUCAGCAAUUUUUCCUAAAAAAAAAUCAACCUUUGAUUUAUUAAUUCUACUAUUUAAAAACACACAUAUAUAUUCUAGUGUAUUGACUGUAUUAUUUUUUACCAGUUACUUCACUCUGUCGCCCAGGCUGGAGUGCAGUGGUGUGAUCUCCGCUCACUGCAACCUCUGCCUCCUGGGUUCAAGUGAUUUUCCUGCCUCCACCUCCCACAUAGCUGGGAUCAUAAGCAUGAGCCACUAUGCCCAGCUAAUUUUUGUAUGUUUAGUAGAGAUGGGUUUUCGCCACAAUGACCAGGUUGGUCUCGAACUCCUGACCUCAAAUGAUCCUCCUGCCUCGGCCUCCCAAAAUGCUGGAAUUACAGGCGUGAGCCACCGCACCUGGGCUACAUCCUUCUUUAAGUGUGUUUUGCUGUUCUUUUUUUAACUUCUUAAGCUAAAGGUCUUGUUUACAUUCUUUCUUUAUUAGUUAUAGAGAAUUUUAAGUCCAUGAAUUUGCAUGUAAAAAAAGUUUUAAUCAUGUAUCAUGAGUUUCAAUUUGUAAGGUUUUGUUCUCAGCCAAUCUGAAACUGCUGUUUUGAUACUUUCUGUUUCACCCAAGAUCCAUGUAGGAAGAUGGUCUUUAAUCACCAAGUCUUUCUUACAUACACUUUAGUUAUUAAUUUCGACUUUUAUUAUAUCAGAGUCAGCAACAAUUACAAAAGGUCAGGGCCUUUUGUAAUUUGAAUGUUAAAGUCAAAGAUUUUAGGUGAACUUGAAAAAAAUGGGCAAUAGAUGUCUGCGUGGA